RNAcentral lists this ribosomal RNA (253 nucleotides) under uncultured bacterium. RNAcentral's name for it is "partial 16S ribosomal RNA". It matches the Rfam family "Bacterial small subunit ribosomal RNA", at positions 524 to 776 of the family's 1533-position model. The record is from RNAcentral.
UACGAAGGGGGCUAGCGUUGCUCGGAAUCACUGGGCGUAAAGCGCACGUAGGCGGACUCUUAAGUCGGGGGUGAAAGCCCAGGGCUCAACCCUGGAACUGCCUUCGAUGCUGGGAGUCUUGAGUGUGGAAGAGGUUGGUGGAACUGCGAGUGUAGAGGUGAAAUUCGUAGAUAUUCGCAAGAACACCAGUGGCGAAGGCGGCCAACUGGUCCACUACUGACGCUGAGGUGCGAAAGCGUGGGGAGCAAACAGG